GAAACAGAUAGUUGUUUAGUGUAGCUGGUUAGCUAGCAACAUUUUCGUUUAGGAAUUUGUAAUCCAUGACAAAUUAUGUGUGUACGGGUUGAACAAAUUGCUGCAUCGCUUGUGCGGGAAUUUCUCUGUCGGAAGGUCGCUUACAGAGGUUGUCUGCCCAUCACAUUGUACAUUAUCAUCAUUUGAAGCAUCAGAUACUCACCCCACAACUACCCAGAGAAGUAUCUGGAGCCAUAAACGUAGCCAGAGCCAGCAGGACCAACAGCCUGUACAUUCCUUCCUAGAUAAUGACAUCUCCACUAAGAGGGAAUCCUUUUCAGACAGAAAUAGUAUUGUCACCUCAGAGAGUACUCAUAAGAAGAAAACAAGCCGCCUCAGACAAGGAAUCCAAUAGAUAAUGCCAGACUCGACACCCUAAUCUUCUUCUGGUAAAUGAUGAAGACAGCAAAAACAGCAGAGAUGGGCCUCCAUUGAUUGUCCAGUCACAGAGAAUGGUUACGGGGCUGACCGAGCUCUCCCCUGCUGAGAGAAAGCCAACAGCCACGUAGCACACCGGGGAAAGGAAGUGAUGAAGAUGGAUAUGGGUUUGAGAGAGUAGGAAAAAACAAGUAAGGAGCGUUGAGUUUCCUUCAACUGUUUUCAUGAUCAGAGAAUUUCAGAUUUCUUACUGUUGCCUAUUUAAUAUAUUUGUAUUUACACUGCUCAAAUAAAUACAGGGAACACUUAAACAACACAAUGUAACUCCAAGUCAAUCACACUUCUGUGAAAUCAAACUGUCCA
Non-coding RNA from Oncorhynchus mykiss (rainbow trout), 780 nucleotides. Lineage: Eukaryota; Metazoa; Chordata; Actinopteri; Salmoniformes; Salmonidae. The record is from RefSeq and is a predicted model, not a curated record.